GGCGAACGCUGGCGGCGUGCUUAACACAUGCAAGUCGAACGGAAAGGCCUGCUUUCCCUUGUGGACUGCGGGUACUCGAGUGGCGAACGGGUGAGUAACACGUGAGUGAUCUGCCCCCAACUUGGGUAUAAGCCUGGGAAACUGGGUCUAAUUCCCGAUAGGACUGCAGGGUGGUGCCUGUGGUGGAAAACGAUUUUCUAGUGGUUGGGGAUGAGCUCGCGGCCUAUCAGCUUGUUGGUGGGGUAAUGGCCUACCAAGGCGGCGACGGGUAGCCGGCCUGAGAGGGUGGACGGCCACAUUGGGACUGAGAUACGGCCCAGACUCCUACGGGAGGCAGCAGUGGGGAAUAUUGCACAAUGGGCGGAAGCCUGAUGCAGCGACGCCGCGUGGGGGAUGACGGCCUUCGGGUUGUAAACUCCUUUCGACCGCGAGGAAGCCACCUGGUUGGAAGGGUGGUGACGGUAGUGGUAGAAGAAGCACCGGCUAACUACGU
Molecule: ribosomal RNA, 493 nt
Filed under: uncultured bacterium
Lineage: Bacteria
Description: partial 16S ribosomal RNA
Rfam family: Bacterial small subunit ribosomal RNA
Source: RNAcentral